RNAcentral lists this ribosomal RNA (401 nucleotides) under uncultured bacterium. RNAcentral describes it as "bacterial SSU rRNA". It matches the Rfam family "Bacterial small subunit ribosomal RNA", at positions 975 to 1375 of the family's 1533-position model. The record is from RNAcentral.
CUGCCCUUGACAUCCUCGGAACGGCUCAGAAAUGAGUUGGUGCCUUCGGGAACCGAGUGACAGGUGCUGCAUGGCUGUCGUCAGCUCGUGUCGUGAGAUGUUGGGUUAAGUCCCGUAACGAGCGCAACCCCUAUCCCUGGUUGCUAGCAGGUAAUGCUGAGAACUCCAGGGAGACUGCCGGUGACAAACCGGAGGAAGGUGGGGAUGACGUCAGGUCAUCAUGGCCCUUACGGCCAGGGCUACACACGUGCUACAAUGGCGCGUACAGAGGGCUGCCAACUCGCGAGAGUGAGCCAAUCCCUUAAAACGCGUCGUAGUCCGGAUCGGAGUCUGCAACUCGACUCCGUGAAGUCGGAAUCGCUAGUAAUCGCGAAUCAGAAUGUCGCGGUGAAUACGUUCCC